Long non-coding RNA from Bos taurus (domestic cattle), 3956 nucleotides. The record is from Ensembl. Lineage: Eukaryota; Metazoa; Chordata; Mammalia; Artiodactyla; Bovidae.
GGAGAUGCAAGCAUGCUCCUCCCCUGUUGGAAUGGGGACAGCAUAGUCUCUGAUUGGAAGAAGUGGUGUCAUUGUGGAAACAGAACGGUGGGAAAUGUAGGAUCAGCAUUAGAAGUGGAAACAGGAAGUAUUGGGUUGGCCAAAAUGUUCUUUCAAGUCAUCUGUAAUCUGUUACAGAAAAAGAAUGAAUUUUUUGGCCAACCCAAUAUGACUGCAGAGGUGUCUGGAUCACCAAGGCCCUACUUCUCCAUGUCAUGGGGGGAGGGGACAGGAUUGGGGUACCCCCUGAAUUCUCCCCACCGCUGUGGCCUCCCCACUUCCCUCAGGCCGCAUGUCCUGUAUCCAGUAAUCUCAGACCCCAAGGGCAGGACUGAAGGUGUUUACAGAAGUCCUUUCCACCCAUGCUUCAAGACCAACACACUUUCUGGAAAGCUCUGCAUAGGGGACAGUUUGUAAGAAUAGGACCCCCUAGACUGUAGCCAUUUCUGAGGUUCUGAGGCAGGUUCUUGGGAGGCAAGUGGGUUCUCCCAGCCUCCUUGUGUGAUGUUGGAGAAGGAGAUGGCACCCCACUCCAGUAUUCUUGCCUGGAAAAUCCUAUGGACAAAGGGAUCUGGUAGGCUACAGUCCAUGGGGUCACACAGAGGCGGACAUGCCUGAGUGACUUCAUUUUCCCGUUGUGUGAUGUUGAGGAGGGAGAAACUGCAUUGCUCUUUGGAGAAUAAAAAGAAGCAGUGUUUCUUCCUGACUGAAGGCACUUUAGCCUUGAGGGGUGGGGGUUGGUCGGUUCCCAAAGAGUAGACACACUUGUGGGGGCACCUUUGUCUCUUCUUGUUUUGUGAGAAGGAGGCUGCUGUGCAUUGGAGGGACUUGGGCUCCGGUGCUGGAAGGCAAGUUAGAGAUGACUUUCAGGUGGUAUACACGGUGGAUUGCUCUAUACGCUGCUUUUAGGGCAACUUUAAAACAGAUCACGUAUAUGUGUGUUAUGCAUUAUGUAUUGUAACAUCCCAACAAAAGUAACAGGAAUGUCUUCAUAUCAUUAAACACCCAGCAGGGCUGCUCUUUCCUGAUUGGCUUGUUCAUUUCUGUGGUUUUCCUCCAUCUGUUCGUUUGAAUCAGGAGGCAAACACAGUCCUGGCAGGGCAUUGGGUGACAUCUCUCUAACAUCUGCCUUCAUUCACAGGUUUUUCUUGCACUUGUUGGCAGAUAUGUCUGGGCCUUUAUUUUGUAGGGUCUCCAGCAGCCUGGAUUUAGCUUAUUUUUCUCCCUUGUGAUAUUCAUCCUGUCCCUGUGUCUGCUGUUCUUCCUAUGAAGUGGUAGGUAGAUGAAUGAUCAGAUUCAAAUUUGGUUUAUUUGGCAAGGCUGCUCCUUGGGUGCUGGGGUGAACUUCCUUCCAACUGUGCUUAAGUCACUCAGUCGUGUCGGACUCUUUGUGACGCCAUGGACUGUAGCCCGCCAGGCUCUUCUGUCCAUGGGGAUUCUCCAGGCAAGAAUACUGGAGUGGGCUGCUAUGCACUCCUCCAGGGGAUCUUCCCAACCCAGGGAUGGAACCCAGGUUUCCUGCAUUGCAGGUGAAUUCUUUACCGGUUGAGCUAUGAAGAAGCCCCCUUCCUUCCAAGAGAGGUACACAAAGAUCGCUUGGCUCUCUCUGUGGUGCUGAGCACCGUGGAUGAGCACGCCCUCCUUUGUUUUGUUUCGCUUUAGAACUCUUGAUAAAAAUCACUGGUGGGCUGUAGGAACAAUCCCUGACUCACCAAAUACAUUAAUUCAUUACAGAUUGCAAAAUGGUGAUGGUCUAUCUUUAGUCUUCUUUUAUUUAUUGAAUUAUUUCUAUAAAGAAAAUUUCCCUCAUUGCCUAUGUAAUUAUCUUCAGAGACAGUUCAUUUAGGAAAGGCAGGAUAAAGCCUUGUAUUUUUUGUUUUUAACCUACUGAUUUUAAUAUUAAUAAUAAUUAGUUGCUUCCCAAAGAUAACCAAGAUUUUUUUCUUUUUAGUAUUAUUAUGAAUUUAAGGACUUGGCCAUUCUACGGGUGUACCUCAGAUAUGUAGAUGACACCACCCUUAUGGCAGAAAGCCUCUUGAUGAAGGUGAAAGAGGAGAGUUAAAAAUCUGGCUCACAACUCAACAUUCAAAAAAUUAAGAUCAUGGGAUCUGAUCCCAUUACUUCAUGGCAAAUAGAUGGGGAAACAAUGUAAAAAGUGACAGACUUUAUUUUCUUGGGCUCCAAAAUCACUGCAGAUGGUGACUGCAUCCAUGAAAUUAAAAGACGCUUGCUCCUUGGAAUAAAAGCUAUGACAAACCUAGACAGUAUAUUAAAAAGCAGAGUCAUUACUUUGCUAACAAGAUCCAUCUAGUCAAAGCUAUGGUUUUUCCAGUAGUCACGUAUGGAUGUGAGAGCUGGACCAUAAAGAAAGCUAAGCACCGAAGAAUUGAUGCUUUUGAACUGUGGUGUUGGAGAAGACUCUUGAGGCUCCCCUGGUCUGCAAGGAGAUUAAACCAGUCAAUCCUAAAGGAAAUCAAUGCUAAAUAUUCAUUGGAGGGACUACUGCUGAAGCUGAAGCUCCAGUACCUUGGCCACCUGAUAUGAAGAGCUGACUCAUUGGAAAAGACCCUGAUGCUGGUGGAUAUUGAAGUCAGGAGGAGAAGGGGACAACAGAGGAUGAGACGGCUGGAUGGGAUCACUGACUCAAUGGACAUGAGUUUGAGCAAGCUCUGGGAGAUGGUGAAGGACAGGGAAGCCUCGGUGCUGCAAUCCACAAGGUGGCAAAGAGUCGGAUGUGGCUGAGCGACUGAACAACAACACCAUGGGUGUACCACAGUUCGUGUGUCUGUCCACCAGCUGAUGGACAUUUGGGUUGUUUUCACUUGGAUCCUAAGCUUACCUUUUUGGUAGAUCCUAGCUUACCUUUGAGAGUGUAGCUUUCCAGAUAGCAAAAAAUAUUCAAACUCAGUUCAUGUAUUUCCACUCUAGACAUGCAAAAGCGUAUUUUCCAAGAAAUGUGUGUGUGUGUGUGCACAUGCUCAGUCAUGUCCAACUCUUUGCCACCCCAUGGACUGUAGCGUGCCAGGCUUCUCUGUCCAUUCAGUACUUACUCUUUGAAAAGACUGGUGCUGAAGCUGAAGAUCCAAUACUUUGGCCACCUGAUUUGAAGAGCUGACCCUGAUGCUAGGAAUGAUUGAGGGAAAAAGGAGAAGAGGGUGGCAGAAGAUGAGAUGGUUAGAUAGUAUCACUGACUCAUUGGACAUGAACUUGAGCAAACUUCAGGAGGCAGUGAAGGAAGGGAAACCUGGCGUGCUGCAGUCCAUGCUGUUGCAACGCGUCAGAUAUGACUUGGCAACUGAACAACAACAAACAGAUUUGUUUAUUCAAGCACCUAUGCAAACCUUUCAGAUUAUAGAAGCUUUAUAGUGUGUUUUAAUAUCUGGGAGAGGAGGAUUUACUUGUUUCAUUUGCUUACCUAAAAGAACAUUGCUACUUCUCUUGAAAGAACAGCCUCAUCUAAGAACUGGAAACAGACAAAAUAUGGGAUUCCCUCUUCGAUUUUAGAGAUCUUGACUUCCAGCCUGACUGUUCAGUUAGUGCAUUAAAAGACGACUGUCUCUCUCCCCAACCCUAAGCCUGGCAAACUCAACCUGUGAUCCGAAGAUCCCGCUGUGCCUUUGCUAUUUCUCGCCUCAUUGCCAGGAAUAAAGAUUCAGCAGCAAUUCCUGCUCAGCUGACAACCCUGCCAGUGACACCUGAGGCAAAGUAAAACCCAGCUCAGCAGUUCCGCUGCGCUGAGCCUUGUGGCUUACAAUUAGUCAAAGCCAGGUGGUUCCUGGGCUGCCUUCUCCUCCCACCCUCCACCCUCCACCCUCCACCCUCACUGGGGUGGUUGGCGGAAUGUUCAGCAUCAGACUCCGCCCUCUCGCUUUGAUUCGGGCACGUGACAAGGCUAAAUGACAAGUGUUGAGUCAAAG